This 375-nucleotide ribosomal RNA is filed under the name uncultured bacterium. RNAcentral's name for it is "bacterial SSU rRNA". It matches the Rfam family "Bacterial small subunit ribosomal RNA", at positions 521 to 896 of the family's 1533-position model. The record is from RNAcentral.
UAAUACGUAGGCAGCGAGCGUUGUUCGGAGUUACUGGGCGUAAAGCGUGCGUAGGCGGUUUUCUAAGUCUGGUGUGAAAUCUCCCGGCUCAACUGGGAGGGUGCGCUAGAAACUGGGAGGCUGGAGUGCGGGAGAGGUAGGCGGAAUUCCUGGUGUAGCGGUGAAAUGCGUAGAUAUCAGGAGGAACACCGGUGGUGUAGACGGCCUGCUGGACCGUAACUGACGCUGAGGCACGAAAGCGUGGGGAGCAAACAGGAUUAGAUACCCUGGUAGUCCACGCCCUAAACGAUGCAUACUUGGUGUGGGCAGUUCAGUCUGUCUGUGCCGGAGCUAACGCGUUAAGUAUGCCGCCUGGGGAGUACGGUCGCAAGGCUG